Xylogone sp. PMI_703 is the source of this 91-nucleotide non-coding RNA. The record is from the annotation of a GenBank genome assembly. NCBI's taxonomy places the organism in Eukaryota, Fungi, Ascomycota, Leotiomycetes.
GGUGAUGUGGUGUAAUGGUAGCACGUGACGUUGUGGCUAACAGCCUAGGCGCAAUCCCGUUUCAAUCUGGGUUCGAUUCCCAGCAUCGCCA